UGCGUAGGCGGCCUGACAAGUUGGGUGUGAAAUCCCACGGCUCAACCGUGGAACUGCGCUCAAAACUGCCAGGCUUGAGGGAGACAGGGGUGAGCGGAACUGAUGGUGGAGCGGUGAAAUGCGUUGAUAUCAUCAGGAACACCAGUGGCGAAGGCGGCUCACUGGGUCUCUUCUAACGCUGAGGCACGAAAGCUAGGGUAGCGAACAGGAUUAGAUACCCUGGUAGUCC
This 229-nucleotide ribosomal RNA is filed under the name uncultured bacterium. RNAcentral describes it as "partial 16S ribosomal RNA". It matches the Rfam family "Bacterial small subunit ribosomal RNA", at positions 568 to 796 of the family's 1533-position model. The record is from RNAcentral.